Molecule: long non-coding RNA, 361 nt
Filed under: Oryza brachyantha (malo sina)
Lineage: Eukaryota; Viridiplantae; Streptophyta; Magnoliopsida; Poales; Poaceae
Description: long non-coding RNA (OBRA_LNC003026)
Source: RNAcentral
AAUAAAAGCCAAGAAGAGAGCGAGGUAGUCGCCGGCGGCGUUCGUCGCUGAAAUCUUGUGUUAUAGCUACUGUUCAUCUUCUUCCUUGGGUUGCAGCUACUGUUCAUCCUUUUCCUUGGGUUGCUGUGGCGAGUGAGAGAGAGAGCAAACGUUCCUGGUGCCAACAUUGAUCAGUUGCUGAACUGUACUAGCAAUUGCUCAGUUGAUGCUACAUGCUAGUACUCAUUUUGGGGAAAAUAUUCUGAUCUCUUGAGGAAAUAUUCUCUCGUCUCUUAUAUGCUAUCUAAAUAGUCAUCAAAAAAUUUAAAAAAAAUUAUGAAGAUAGAUUAACAUAAGAUAUAUCACUACAUAACCAUGCAAG